GGGUGGGACAUGCUGUGAUUCUUCGAUUCUCUGAUCAACAAUGGGUGGCAACAAAAUGUUGCUUAGCCACCAACAGCAUCUGAAGAAGGUCUGGCCCAUGGAUGACCAACACAGCAUGGCCAUCCCAGGAAUCCUGUUCUCACUGGGAAGCAUCGUUCCAGCCUUUGUCAGGGAACAGUUUUCUAUGCAGGAAAUCCUUCCUAUAUGUCUGAAAAAGGAUGCAGGUGAUGUGAAUUGUGUCUGGUGACAGAAAUACCUCAGGUGACCUUACACUGUGCCAGUGCACAAAAGAUCUGCUCUUCUCUCAGCCACUGAGAACUCCUACAGCUCCAUGUCCAUUUUUAAAUGAUGCAUUUCCUGACAUCUGGAACUAGAUGCAAGGAGCAAAGCCACAACGCUGACCGACCGCCCGGCUUCUCCGGGACCAGGCUGAAGGGAUGUUUUCCUCAGGGGAUUACAGCAAAGCUGAGGCAUGUGCUUCAACACUUGCAUGGGAUUACUAAUUUUAUUAAAAAUGGAAAGUACACUUUA
Molecule: long non-coding RNA, 531 nt
Organism: Passer domesticus (house sparrow)
Lineage: Eukaryota; Metazoa; Chordata; Aves; Passeriformes; Passeridae
Exons: 2
Source: RefSeq, a predicted model, not a curated record